GUGGGUUCACUUUGAUUUUCUAUUUUCCGAUGCCAAAUAUCCUUGACUAAUAAGGACCUCCAGGCCCUUCUUGAAGGACACUGUGAAGACGGAAUAAGGUGAGGAGGCAUCACCAGCAGCACCUACCAGAGUGCUUAAUGCACGCAGUAAAGUUUCAUACAGUUUAAAGUUUAUUACUUGUGCCUGUUUUCUUGCUAAACACAAAGAUUUGAAAAGGGAACGAAGUAUAAAUAGUGCCCCCUGAAUGCUUACUGGGCACUUGGAGAUUCUGAUACUCCAAAUACGUAAGACAGAGCAAGGCAGCCAGUACUCUAACCGAGAUUCGCCCAAGCUUCUGGCCGGUGGUGUGGAGGCAGAAAAUUUACAGACGGAUUUGAAACCAUUUUAAGUCGUGGAGAUGCGGUUAUCGGAGAAGCAGGGAGCACUGCCGAAGUGUCAGCACGGAGCGACGGCUUCCACGUCCCUGCACCGAGGGACUCAGCCGAAGAGUAUGGCUUCCCGCGGCCUAACGCCAUAUCCCUAGAAUGACCUCAGCUCCCCUUAAAAUGCCAGGAGAAUCUACUGUUCGUUCCAGCCAAAACCUGAGGACAGGCAGAGAGGCUCCUGAACCCCUUCUUAGAGCAACGGCUUUAGCAAGGCUGCCAUUUUACAUCCUUUCUGGGCCUCAGGGACGUCAGUCUACCACAGAACACUGUUUCCGGGAGGAGGACCGCAGAGCUCUCUCCGAAACGGACACGUUGAGGGGGGUGAGUCCCCUCUUCCCGCCGGUCGCUGUGGAGGACCACGGCCGGCCCGGACGGCUGCCUCGCUCCGAGGUGCACCGCGGCCUCCUGUCCCGAAGAUGGCGGCUGCUUCCCCUCGCGGAAUCCCAAGGAAAAUUUAAGACAACGUCGGGUCUAUUUCUUAACUUCUUCGAACGCCUUUAA
This 926-nucleotide long non-coding RNA is filed under the name Mustela putorius furo (domestic ferret). RNAcentral describes it as "lncRNA (ENSMPUG00000026180.1)". Lineage: Eukaryota; Metazoa; Chordata; Mammalia; Carnivora; Mustelidae. The record is from RNAcentral.